This 497-nucleotide ribosomal RNA is filed under the name uncultured bacterium. Its description in RNAcentral is "partial 16S ribosomal RNA". It matches the Rfam family "Bacterial small subunit ribosomal RNA", at positions 28 to 507 of the family's 1533-position model. The record is from RNAcentral.
GAUGAACGCUGGCGGCGUGCCUAAUACAUGCAAGUCGAGCGAACAGACGAGGAGCUUGCUCCUCUGACGUUAGCGGCGGACGGGUGAGUAACACGUGGAUAACCUACCUAUAAGACUGGGAUAACUUCGGGAAACCGGAGCUAAUACCGGAUAAUAUAUUGAACCGCAUGGUUCAAUAGUGAAAGACGGUUUUGCUGUCACUUAUAGAUGGAUCCGCGCCGCAUUAGCUAGUUGGUAAGGUAACGGCUUACCAAGGCAACGAUGCGUAGCCGACCUGAGAGGGUGAUCGGCCACACUGGAACUGAGACACGGUCCAGACUCCUACGGGAGGCAGCAGUAGGGAAUCUUACGCAGUGGGCGAAAGCCUGACGGAGCAACGCCGCGUGAGUGAUGAAGGUCUUCGGAUCGUAAAACUCUGUUAUUAGGGAAGAACAAAUGUGUAAGUAACUAUGCACGUCUUGACGGUACCUAAUCAGAAAGCCACGGCUAACUACGUG